Molecule: ribosomal RNA, 253 nt
Filed under: uncultured bacterium
Lineage: Bacteria
Description: partial 16S ribosomal RNA
Rfam family: Bacterial small subunit ribosomal RNA
Source: RNAcentral
UACGAAGGGUGCAAACGUUGCUCGGAAUUAUUGGGCGUAAAGCGCACGUAGGCGGCUUUGCAAGUCCCAUGUGAAAUCCCACGGCUCAACCGUGGAAGUGCAUGGGAAACUGCAGAGCUUGAGUACUUAAGAGGAUCGCGGAAUUCCCGGUGUAGAGGUGAAAUUCGUAGAUAUCGGGAGGAACACCAGUGGCGAAGGCGGCGAUCUGGGAAGAUACUGACGCUGGGGUGCGAAAGCGUGGGGAGCAAACAGG